CCCUCCUGGGUGUUCUUCACUGCAGUCAGCUCCUUGGAACGUUUGGUAAGGCCCUCAGUCUCACAUUUUGGAGGCCCCAGCGAGAUCCCCGGGUAGGAACCCCGAUUCGGCCGAGACUCCGUGGCAGAAUCCAGCAGGAGGCUCUUGGGCACAGACCUCAGAAAACCUCUGGAGGUUUGACUCCAAGACCCUGGAACCCCAGUAGAAGGGACCGGUUCCUGUUGUUCUGGCAACUCCCUUGGUGAUAAAGGUAGCUGGACAUCCUGCCUGGAUACAUCGCAACCAUCUAAAAACAGCACCCCCUGUGGACAUCUCAAAGGACGAAUGGAAGGUCAUCAGUCAACCAGGCGACCAAAAGUUAAGACUGGGAUGGGUAGGAAGUACAUCCCUUUCUUGCUGAUGUUCUCUGGAACAUCGGCAGUAUUACCCCCAAAACAAUUGGACCAUACUGGAAAUGUUUGGAUUCAACUGGCACAAUCACUUAAGUUGUCUGAGUUCUGUUUAAAUGUAGAUGUGAAUUUCCAUCAUAUAUUAGGAAGCUGUCUCAUCCCAGGGUGUACCCCUUUAAGUCUGAUACAGCCUUAUACCCUGUUUAAAGAUAUCCCAGGAAAAAAUCUUACCUAUGAAGAUAGCUACAACUGGGGACAUCCCUCUAUCCUAAACCAAAAAAUGUUAUUAAGAUAUAUAUGUCCCGGAUGAUUAUGUUAAAUAAUACCCAAUGUGCUGUAUAUGAAAAUUGUACUACAAAGUGCCUAAAGUUACAACAAUCUGCAGGGAUGCCCUGUCAUGAGAAACAAAAAAUUAUAUAUAAUAACAGUCAUAUCCCUUUACCAUCGGGAUGGUUUUAUACCUGCGAGGGAAUAACUUUUAAUUAUAUUCCUGCCAACUUGACUCAAACUCGUUGCUGCCUAAGUUGCCUGGCUGUGAUAUUGCCAGAUAGAACUGAUUUGAUUGUACCCAAAAGAACGAAGCACUGGUCACCUUAUACUGCGCCAGGAUGUGAUGAUGAUGUAGGUCUCUUGACAGAUGCUGAAGUGAUAUCUAUGAUAGCAUCUGUGGUUGCUCUGCCUUCCAUAGGAGUUCAUGCUGAAAAGGCGGUACAAAAGUUAGCAUGCAAGGUGGUCAAAGGUCUAAAUGCCACCUCAUCGGCCUUGGAAUUAAUUAACCAGGAGUUACAAGAACAAUGACAGGCUAUACUAGACAAUAGGGCAGCAAUAGAUUAUUUGCUUUUAUUUCAUCAUCAAGGGUGUGAAAAAAUAAAAAAUAUGUGUUGUUUAAUCUGACUGACAACAGCCCAGAAAUUAGGGAAAAGAUAAAACAAUUGGAAAAAUUAGCAGAAAAAAUACAUAAUGAAAAAUUAAGAUGGGACCUGUUUCAAUGGUUACAUAACUUGCAGUGGCCAAAACAACUUUUUCUUGUAAUAAUGGUAAUACUCAUAUGUUUGCUGUUAUCCUGUUGUUGCAUACAAUGUUUGCCUAGGGCCGUGCGUAAGAUUACUUAAAAUCCACAAAAAUCAGUGGGGAAUGUGGGACUAUAUGAGAUUGAACGAAGGUUACUCCAUGUUGCCUCACUCGAUACUCCCCCUCUCCUUCUGAGUAAACCAUGUGAUGUCAUUUCUGGGAAGAAAAACAAAGGUUCGUGGAAUUCACAGUGUUCUUUGAAAUUAUGCAACUCCCCAUAAACAGGAAAUGUACUGGAACAUGCUAUCUACUAUCUAAAUGUACUGGAACAUGUUAUCUACUAUCUAAAUGUACUGGAACAUGCUAUCUAAAUCCCCUAACCGUCAGGAUCUCGCUUUUGUAAUCUCUGCUUGCUAACGUCCCCUUGCAACCCCUAUAAAAGAGCCUCGUACUCUGA
Heterocephalus glaber (naked mole-rat) is the source of this 1857-nucleotide long non-coding RNA. RefSeq lists it as uncharacterized. The record is from RefSeq and is a predicted model, not a curated record. Lineage: Eukaryota; Metazoa; Chordata; Mammalia; Rodentia; Bathyergidae.